UAUCAAUAAGCGGUGGAAAAGAAACUAACCAGGAUUCCCCUAGUAACGGCGAGUGAACAGGGAUUAGCCCAGCACCGAAGUCUGCGUCCGUUUGGGCGUUAGACAAUGUGGUGUUUAGGUUGGUGUUUUCGAAUGUUGCUCUGUUUAAAGUCCAUUCUUGAAUAUGGCUAAUAGUUUGGCCCAGAGAGGGUGAAAGGCCCGUGUGGACAGAGCGAUGUUUGACUGUGCUAACCAUGGAGUCGGGUUGUUUGAGAAUGCAGCCCAAAGUUGGUGGUAAACUCCAUCUAAGGCUAAAUACUGGCACGAGUCCGAUAGCGAACAAGUACCGUGAGGGAAAGUUGAAAAGUACUCUGAAGAGAGAGUUAACAGUGCGUGAAACCGCUUAGAAGCAAACGGGUGUAGUCAAGCUGCAAGCCUUAAGAAAUAGGUUGGUCAGAAUGGCGUGAGUCUGAGCAUACAGAGCUGCCAGGUAGGUCCGACUAUAUGUCGGGUUCGGCUCGCAAGAGUCGGAUUUGUGGAGCGUUUACGCGCUGCAUGCCUGCUUGUCAGUUGCUCUACUGGCCCUCUCAAUUUCUUUUGGCGUAUGUCACGACCGUCUUCGCUGUCGGUCUGCUCCAUUUAAACCGUUUCGUGAGUAGUUUCGUGCUGCUUGCGUUCUGGGGGCAGGUAGCUGAUCUAGUCUCGGCUGGAUUGGUGUAAUUGCUGAGUGGAGUGGUACCUGUAACUGUGCAGUAAGAUGGGGCUGGCGGUGCAUUGUUGCCGGGCGUGCGUGUGUUAUCGUGGUUGGCGUAUGGCUAUCUGUUGCUGUUAAUAACGGCCUGGUGGUUGCCCGAUUGCGGUGUCAUUCGUUACGUUUGGUCAAUCUUUGCGUUGUGCCUAUAGUCUGUGGCGUAGUGGUAGACGAUCCACCCGACCCGUCUUGAAACACGGACCAAGGAGUUUAACAUGUACGCGAGUCAAUGAGUCUAUACGAAACUCAUAGGCGAAGUGAAAGUAAAGGAUGGCUUUUCGCCAAUCUGAGGUGAGAUCUUGCUGUGUCACUGGUACCAUUGAUCGGACUAUUGAGCAGUAGGCGCAUCACCGGCCCGUCCCAUGGUGUAGUACGGUUUACUGUGCAGCACCGGGGCGGAGCAUGAGCGUGCAUGUUGAGACCCGAAAGAUGGUGAACUAUGCUUGCGCAGGUUGAAGCCGGAGGAAACUCUGGUGGAGGACCGUAGCGAUUCUGACGUGCAAAUCGAUCGUAUGAUGUGAGUAUAGGGGCGAAAGACUAAUCGAACCAUCUAGUAGCUGGUUCCCU
RNAcentral lists this ribosomal RNA (1297 nucleotides) under Microcotyle erythrini. Its description in RNAcentral is "eukaryotic LSU rRNA". It matches the Rfam family "Eukaryotic large subunit ribosomal RNA", at positions 41 to 960 of the family's 3401-position model. The record is from RNAcentral. Lineage: Eukaryota; Metazoa; Platyhelminthes; Monogenea; Mazocraeidea; Microcotylidae.